UGAGUAACCUGCCCUUAACUCUGGGAUAAGCCUGGGAAACUGGGUCUAAUACCGGAUAUGACUCCUCAUCUCAUGGUGGGGGUUGGAAAGCUUUAUUGUGGUUUUGGGUGGACUCGCGGCCUAUCAGCUUGUUGGUGAGGUAAUGGCUCACCAAGGCGACGACGGGUAGCCGGCCUGAGAGGGUGACCGGCCACACUGGGACUGAGACACGGCCCAGACUCCUACGGGAGGCAG
This 234-nucleotide ribosomal RNA is filed under the name uncultured bacterium. Its description in RNAcentral is "partial 16S ribosomal RNA". It matches the Rfam family "Bacterial small subunit ribosomal RNA", at positions 118 to 351 of the family's 1533-position model. The record is from RNAcentral.